Molecule: unclassified non-coding RNA, 535 nt
Filed under: Hevea brasiliensis (rubber tree)
Lineage: Eukaryota; Viridiplantae; Streptophyta; Magnoliopsida; Malpighiales; Euphorbiaceae
Source: RNAcentral
UCCUCAUCACCCUCACCAAUAAUAGGAAUUGUUGGUCCAGAUAAAAUGGCAAAUCUCCUAGCCAGCCAAAGAAGAGCCGAUGUUGGGCCUAUGCCAGCAAAUUCAUUAGGAGAACCACGAACUUGUCCUGCAGCAUCUUUGCUUUUAAAUUCUCCAGGGUAAGACCACACCAGACAAGGAAGUGGGCCAUCUUUUGAUGGAUCAUAACCAGGUGGCAAGUACAAUGUUGCAGUAAGCUGAACUCCAUCCUUCCUCUGGUACUUAAUCAUCUCUUUCUGCAAUGAUGCCAAUUGAGGAUAUGGGUGAGGAAAAUUUGUAAUCUGACAUGCUUUCUGAUCUGGCCAGCUCUGGAUGUAAUACUGGGUAUUUUCAGUUUUUGACUCCUUCGAAGUUAACAAUUUCAACUGAUCAAGAUAUAGAUCCCCUUCCUCAUAAUCAGACAUUAAGGCAACAACUGUCUCAAAGUAUUUUUCCUUGUCACUCUGCCAAAUUCGUUCUUUGCUGCUUGUAUUUAUGUCAAACAGAUCAAGGAAAG